This 516-nucleotide ribosomal RNA is filed under the name Mycobacterium malmoense. RNAcentral's name for it is "bacterial SSU rRNA". It matches the Rfam family "Bacterial small subunit ribosomal RNA", at positions 1 to 522 of the family's 1533-position model. The record is from RNAcentral. Lineage: Bacteria; Bacillati; Actinomycetota; Actinomycetes; Mycobacteriales; Mycobacteriaceae.
UGGAGAGUUUGAUCCUGGCUCAGGACGAACGCUGGCGGCGUGCUUAACACAUGCAAGUCGAACGGAAAGGCCCUUUCGGGGGUGCUCGAGUGGCGAACGGGUGAGUAACACGUGGGUGAUCUGCCCUGCACUCUGGGAUAAGCCUGGGAAACUGGGUCUAAUACCGGAUAGGACCAUGGGAUGCAUGUUCUGUGGUGGAAAGCUUUUGCGGUGUGGGAUGGGCCCGCGGCCUAUCAGCUUGUUGGUGGGGUGAUGGCCUACCAAGGCGACGACGGGUAGCCGGCCUGAGAGGGUGUCCGGCCACACUGGGACUGAGAUACGGCCCAGACUCCUACGGGAGGCAGCAGUGGGGAAUAUUGCACAAUGGGCGCAAGCCUGAUGCAGCGACGCCGCGUGGGGGAUGACGGCCUUCGGGUUGUAAACCUCUUUCAGUAUCGGCGAAGCUUGCGGGUUUUCUCGCAGGUGACGGUAGGUACAGAAGAAGCACCGGCCAACUACGUGCCAGCAGCCGCGGUA